This 485-nucleotide ribosomal RNA is filed under the name uncultured bacterium. RNAcentral describes it as "bacterial SSU rRNA". It matches the Rfam family "Bacterial small subunit ribosomal RNA", at positions 28 to 514 of the family's 1533-position model. The record is from RNAcentral.
GAUGAACGCUAGCGGCAGGCUUAACACAUGCAAGUCGAGGGGUAUUGGUUUUCGGACCAAGAGACCGGCGCACGGGUGCGUAACGCGUAUGCAAUCUACCUUUUGCAGAGGGAUAGCCCCAGAGAAAUUUGGAUUAAUACCUCAUAGUAUAGUACUUUGGCAUCAAGGAACUAUUAAAGUCACAACGGCAAAAGAUGAGCAUGCGUCCAUUAGCUAGUUGGUAAGGUAACGGCUUACCAAGGCUACGAUGGGUAGGGGUUCUGAGAGGGAGAUCCCCCANACUGGUACUGAGACACGGACCAGACUCCUACGGGAGGCAGCAGUGAGGAUAUUGGACAAUGGGCGCAAGCCUGAUCCAGCCAUGCCCGCGUGCAGGAUGACGGUCCUAUGGAUUGUAAACUGCUUUUANACAGGAAGAAACACUCCGACGUGUCGGAGCUUGACGGUACUGUAAGAAUAAGGAUCGGCUAACUCCGUGCCAGCAG